GACGAACGCUGGCGGCGUCCUUAACACAUGCAAGUCGAACGGUGAAGCGCCUUCCUUUUUGGUGGGUGUGGAUGAGUGGCGAACGGGUGAGUAACACGUGAGUAACCUGCCCCCUUCUUCUGGAUAACCGCAUGAAAGUGUGGCUAAUACGGGAUAUUCUGGGUCUGUCGCAUGAUGGGUCUGGGAAAGAUAUUGUUUCGGUGGGGGAUGGGCUCGCGGCCUAUCAGCUUGUUGGUGGGGUGAUGGCCUACCAAGGCGGUGACGGGUAGCCGGCCUGAGAGGGUGGACGGUCACACUGAGACUGAGACACGGCCCAGACUCCUACGGGAGGCAGCAGUGGGGAAUAUUGCACAAUGGGCGCAAGCCUGAUGCAGCGACGCCGCGUGAGGGAUGGAGGCCUUCGGGUUGUGAACCUCUUUCGCCAGUGAAGCAGGCCUGCCUCGUUUGUGGGUGGGUUGACGGUAGCUGGAUAAGAAGCGCCGGCUAACUACGUG
Molecule: ribosomal RNA, 494 nt
Filed under: uncultured bacterium
Lineage: Bacteria
Description: partial 16S ribosomal RNA
Rfam family: Bacterial small subunit ribosomal RNA
Source: RNAcentral